Molecule: ribosomal RNA, 754 nt
Filed under: Escherichia sp. C71
Lineage: Bacteria; Pseudomonadati; Pseudomonadota; Gammaproteobacteria; Enterobacterales; Enterobacteriaceae
Description: bacterial SSU rRNA
Rfam family: Bacterial small subunit ribosomal RNA
Source: RNAcentral
GAAAGCGUGGGGAGCAAACAGGAUUAGAUACCCUGGUAGUCCACGCCGUAUAACGAUGUCGACUUGGAGGUUGUGCCCUUGAGGCGUGGCUUCCGGAGCUAACGCGUUAAGUCGACCGCCUGGGGAGUACGGCCGCAAGGUUAAAACUCAAAUGAAUUGACGGGGGCCCGCACAAGCGGUGGAGCAUGUGGUUUAAUUCGAUGCAACGCGAAGAACCUUACCUGGUCUUGACAUCCACGGAAGUUUUCAGAGAUGAGAAUGUGCCUUCGGGAACCGUGAGACAGGUGCUGCAUGGCUGGUGUCGUCAGCUCGUGUUGUGAAAUGUUGGGUUAAGUCCCGCAACGAGCGCAACCCUUUAUCCUUUGUUGCCAGCGGUCCGGCCGGGAACUCAAAGGAGACUGCCAGUGAUAAACUGGAGGAAAGGUGGGGAUGACGUCAAGUCAUCAUGGCCCUUACGACCAGGGCUACACACGUGCUACAAUGGCGCAUACAAAGAGAAGCGACCUCGCGAGAGCAAGCGGACCUCAUAAAAGUGCGUCGUAGUCCGGAUUGGAGUCUGCAACUCGACUCCAUGAAGUCGGAAUCGCUAGUAAUCGUGGGAUCAGAAUGCCACGGUGAAUACGUUCCCGGGCCUUGUACACACCGCCCGUCACACCAUUGGGAGUGGGUUGCAAAAGAAGUAGGUAGCUUAACCUUCGGGAGGGCGCUUACCACUUUGUUGAUUAUUCAUGACUGGGGUGAAGUCGUAACAAGG